UUUUUGACACGCUAUAAAAAU
This is a non-coding RNA of Caenorhabditis elegans, 21 nucleotides long. The record is from Ensembl. Lineage: Eukaryota; Metazoa; Nematoda; Chromadorea; Rhabditida; Rhabditidae.